AUGUAGUGCUAUCAAGACCUAGUUUACUAAAUUAUAAUGUGACUCAAUUUUUGAUAAAAUUUGUCAUUGACAGGGAUAACGUACGUUGGAAUUUUCUGUUUACAAAAAUAUUAUAUGCAGAGAAGGACAAAGACCAGAACCUGUUAUUCGCAAUUAGAAGUCCAGCCAAUUGACAUGCAAGGGUUACGACAUAGAAAUCUCUUGCUAAGAAGAACAAGUUCCAAAGUCCCUGC
RNAcentral lists this long non-coding RNA (233 nucleotides) under Elaeis guineensis (African oil palm). RNAcentral describes it as "long non-coding RNA (EGUI_LNC035499)". Lineage: Eukaryota; Viridiplantae; Streptophyta; Magnoliopsida; Arecales; Arecaceae. The record is from RNAcentral.